GAUGAACGCUGGCUGCGUGCCUAACACAUGCAAGUCGAGCGUGAUUGUUGUGAGUGGAGACUUCGGUUGAAGCGAUCAACAUGAAAGCGGCGGACGGGUGAGUAACGCGUGGGCAACCUGCCCCAUACAGCGGAAUAGCCACUGGAAACGGUGAUUAAUGCCGCAUGAGACCACGGUGUCGCAUGACACAGCGGUCAAGGAUUUAUCGGUAUGGGAUGGGCCCGCGUCGGAUUAGCUAGUUGGUGAGGUAACGGCUCACCAAGGCGACGAUCAGUAGCCGACCUGAGAGGGCGGACGGCCACACUGGAACUGAGACACGGUCCAGACUCCUACGGGAGGCAGCAGUGGGGAAUAUUGCACAAUGGGCGCAAGCCUGAUGCAGCAACGCCGCGUGAGUGAAGAAGGCCUUCGGGUCGUAAAGCUCUGUCCUGUGGGAAGAAUAAAUGACGGUACCACAGGAGGAAGCCCCGGCUAACUACGUGCCAGCCGCCGCAGUAA
Molecule: ribosomal RNA, 498 nt
Filed under: uncultured bacterium
Lineage: Bacteria
Description: partial 16S ribosomal RNA
Rfam family: Bacterial small subunit ribosomal RNA
Source: RNAcentral